This 28-nucleotide non-coding RNA is filed under the name Bombyx mori (domestic silkworm). Lineage: Eukaryota; Metazoa; Arthropoda; Insecta; Lepidoptera; Bombycidae. The record is from RNAcentral.
UAUCGAAGAAAAGGGCUCCUGUCGGAAU